This 935-nucleotide long non-coding RNA is filed under the name Musa acuminata (dwarf banana). Its description in RNAcentral is "long non-coding RNA (MACU_LNC001142)". The record is from RNAcentral. Lineage: Eukaryota; Viridiplantae; Streptophyta; Magnoliopsida; Zingiberales; Musaceae.
UUCCACACUCCACCAGACAAACAGGUGCUAUCUAUCAGCUGUAGUUUAUUUCCAUACAAUGACAAAAGGUAAAUAUUUAUCCACACGGUAAGGCAAGACUAUAGAAUGAGAGCCACUUGAUCAUUAUCAUAGCGUCAGUAUUUGAAAUCUUUAAAGAUGGAUAGCAUUCUAAGGCCUUUGAAUUCCCCGUUUCUUAGCUCUCUCUCUCUCUCUCUCUCUCUCUCACACACACACCUCAUUAUAUCACCAUGUUAUGAUCAUUACAGCAUUCUACUCAUGGUUUUAUGUGUUGUAGCACAGUCACAAGUUGGUGUCCAACAUUUAGUUAUACUUGUAGCAUGCUCCACGCAGCCAUGAUGGAACUUAUACAUCAGCAUUACUCAAUAGUUCUCUAAAGUUCCCACAAUUUAUUAUUACUGGUAUACUUUGCUUCUGAGCAGAAGUUCUUCCUACGUAACUUUGAAGUUCGUAUAAGACUGAUGAAACAUGGCUUUAUUAGAGUAAACUAGAGAUGCACACAACUUCUUGUGGCUUGUCAACCGAUGUAUAGCUCUGGACACUCGCCGGCUUCGUUUUAAGGCAAGUCAAUACUUAACUAAGCAAUAUAACAGAGGAGAAAGGAAUCUGUCGUCCUCCUAUCCAGUGAAUCUCUCUCUGCAUACAAACUGGGAGCUACUUCCAUUAUUGGAUUUCAAGCAGGGACUUGUAGUCGAUUUUAGGUUCUGUGUGAUCAUGUUACCAACUUAACCAAAUUAAUCAAUGCUAUAUCUGAGACAGGCUGGAUAUUGUGGUUGAAGUGUCCCUUUGAGGUCUUUGAGGCAAAAGGUUUCUCCAAGUUGUGUAAGGUCAUGAAAGUUGUUCAGCUGUGGCUUUAGGUUCACUGUAUUUAGCAUUUUCAUCUGAGAAGUUGUCUGAAGAAUUGAGAACUUAGAUUU